RNAcentral lists this long non-coding RNA (259 nucleotides) under Polistes fuscatus (common paper wasp). Its description in RNAcentral is "uncharacterized LOC122524175". Lineage: Eukaryota; Metazoa; Arthropoda; Insecta; Hymenoptera; Vespidae. The record is from RNAcentral.
CACAACCAACAACAAGAUUAUAUCUCUCUCUCUUCACUGCCGGACUCUUUUAUGGCUGGGAUCACUCGAUUACAUUGCGACCUGUGACUCGAACUACUUAUAACAAUACGGUCAAAUAGUGUAAUCCGUGGUAUAUUAACGAAGAUCUAUCGAAGAGUUUGAACGAAAGGACAACAAGCAAAGUUUUAUUCUUCAUUAAUUUUCUGUUACAUCGGAACGUCGUGGAAUAAAUAAAUAAAUAAAUAAAUAAAUAAACAAA